This 406-nucleotide ribosomal RNA is filed under the name uncultured bacterium. RNAcentral's name for it is "partial 16S ribosomal RNA". It matches the Rfam family "Bacterial small subunit ribosomal RNA", at positions 28 to 526 of the family's 1533-position model. The record is from RNAcentral.
GACGAACGCUGGCGGCGUGCUUAACACAUGCAAGUCGAACGAGUGGCGAACGGGUGAGUAAUACGUGAGUAACCUGCCCUCUUUUUGGGAUAAGCCUUGGAAACGGGGUCUAAUACCGGAUAAAGGGGGAUGGGCUCGCGGCAUUUCAGCUUGUUGGUGGGGUGAUGGCCUACCAAUGCGGUGUCGGGUUGCCGGCCUGAGAGGGGGAACGGCAACAAUGGGACGGUGCGACGGCCGAGACUCGUACGGGAGGCAGCAGUGGGGGAUAUUGGACAAGGGGAGAAAGCCUGAUGCAGCGACGCGGCGUGGGGGAUGAUGGCUUUCGAGUUGUAAACCUCUGUCGCUAUCGAGCGGGUAGGUGGAGAAGAAGCGCCGGCUAACUACGUGCCAGCAGCCGCGGUAAUUC